AUUGAACGCUGGCGGCAGGCCUAACACAUGCAAGUCGAACGGUAACAGGAAGCAGCUUGCUGCUUUGCUGACGAGUGGCGGACGGGUGAGUAAUGUCUGGGAAACUGCCCGAUGGAGGGGGAUAACUACUGGAAACGGUAGCUAAUACCGCAUAACGUCGCAAGACCAAAGAGGGGGACCUUAGGGCCUCUUGCCAUCGGAUGUGCCCAGAUGGGAUUAGCUAGUAGGUGGGGUAACGGCUCACCUAGGCGACGAUCCCUAGCUGGUCUGAGAGGAUGACCAGCCACACUGGAACUGAGACACGGUCCAGACUCCUACGGGAGGCAGCAGUGGGGAAUAUUGCACAAUGGGCGCAAGCCUGAUGCAGCCAUGCCGCGUGUAUGAAGAAGGCCUUCGGGUUGUAAAGUACUUUCAGCGGGGGGGAAGGGAGUAAAGUUAAUACCUUUGCUCAUUGACGUUACCCGCAGAAGAAGCACCGGCUAACUCCGUG
RNAcentral lists this ribosomal RNA (490 nucleotides) under uncultured bacterium. RNAcentral's name for it is "partial 16S ribosomal RNA". It matches the Rfam family "Bacterial small subunit ribosomal RNA", at positions 30 to 507 of the family's 1533-position model. The record is from RNAcentral.